This 495-nucleotide ribosomal RNA is filed under the name uncultured bacterium. RNAcentral describes it as "partial 16S ribosomal RNA". It matches the Rfam family "Bacterial small subunit ribosomal RNA", at positions 29 to 507 of the family's 1533-position model. The record is from RNAcentral.
CACGAACGCUGGCGGCGUGCCUAAUACAUGCAAGUAGAACGCUGAAGGAGGAGCUUGCUUCUCUGGAUGAGUUGCGAACGGGUGAGUAACGCGUAGGUAACCUGCCUGGUAGCGGGGGAUAACUAUUGGAAACGAUAGCUAAUACCGCAUAAGAGUAGAUGUUGCAUGACAUUUGCUUAAAAGGUGCAAUUGCAUCACUACCAGAUGGACCUGCGUUGUAUUAGCUAGUUGGUGGGGUAACGGCUCACCAAGGCGACGAUACAUAGCCGACCUGAGAGGGUGAUCGGCCACACUGGGACUGAGACACGGCCCAGACUCCUACGGGAGGCAGCAGUAGGGAAUCUUCGGCAAUGGACGGAAGUCUGACCGAGCAACGCCGCGUGAGUGAAGAAGGUUUUCGGAUCGUAAAGCUCUGUUGUAAGAGAAGAACGAGUGUGAGAGUGGAAAGUUCACACUGUGACGGUAUCUUACCAGAAAGGGACGGCUAACUACGUG